CCUUAUGUAAGAAAGAAAGGAGGGUCGGGAGGGGGAGGGUACUGAGUUUUGGGGGACGGCUUUUAUAUUUUUUACUAUGCACGGAGGAAGGAAUUGAAAGGGAAGACCAAUCACUGUUCUGAACAGAGGAAAAAAGAACUUGGAGGGCACGGAGGAAUCGAGGGCCUACUGACUUCCAAAGAAUUCAAGUUCAGAGCCCUAUUUUCAUAUAGAUCUGUCAUUUAUCUUUUGAUGGGGGAACAUGGGGUAAAGGACGCCCACAUUUCAGGUAUCUUCUCUUGGUUUUUGCAUCUGUUUUUUUUCAACCUCAUUUCUACGCAUUGCUCAGAAGAGUAUCUUUUGAAUUUAUUCUAUAGAUGUUUUUAUGAAUUUAUGAUGGAUGUCUUUAUGCUGGACCAACUUGUCCAGAGUAGAUUUGUAUCCCCUCUAUAUCUCCUCUGUAUACAGAACAUUUCUUCUCAAUCUCUUUUCUACAUAGCUCAGAACGAUAGCUUUUGAAGUUAUCCCAUAGGUGUUAUUGUGAAUUCAAGCUGGAUUAAGUUGUUCAUAGUAGAUUUGUAUCCUCUGUACACGCAGAAGACCGAAUAAUGUUUCUGCAGAAGAAGAAAAACUAAAAAAGACUAGACUAGACAAAGAAAUUUAUAGUGGUUCAUCGUAAUAGGCUACAUCCACUUUAUAAGUAGGGGAAUGAUUUUAUUAAACACUGUUCUGUACAUCAAUCACAGCAGCAAAAGAAAUCUUUACGUUUAUGUAGACAAUACAAAAUGAGAAUACAGACAGCUAAGAGUCUUGAAGGGAAAACCAGUAUGACCAUUGGACUUCGCAAUACCAACAUCCUCUAUUUAUCCCGUGUGUAUAAUGACACAAAACUUUCUGAUUGUUAAUAUCCAUCUUGUGCCUCCCCUUUUUGAAAUUGGAAAUGAAUAACCAAUGGCCUUUUUCUAUGGUGUUAUCAGAUUUCAUAGAAUCCCUUUUCCUUUCCAAAUAUGUCUAUGAGUUUUAGUGUAAAUUUUUCUUCUUCUGGUUUUUGCAACCCAAAUUGUGAUGUAAAAUUUUCAAUUAACAAUGAUAUGAAGUGUUUAAUAUCUGUUCCUUGUAUAUCAGUUAGUCAACAAGAUUCAAUAAUUUUGACAACAUAUAAAAGUAGACUUAUCUUAUGCUCAUAAAUGUUAGUUUCUUAAAGAAAGAUGAUUGGAUAGAGAUCCCUGAUGAGGGGAAUAAAACAUGUUAACAGUCUCAUAAAUGACUUAAUUACUUCAGUAACAUGUCAAAUGUGCUCAUAAAUUUCAUUAUCUGUUCAAAUUCAUGCAUGACUAAUUUAUCUUCUUUUGCUUCGAAAUGGACUUGUUUCACAAAGCUCAAUGGUCUAUUAGAAUGGGUGGAAUUGGAAAGAUGGGUAAGCAAUUUUUAAGAAUCAAAUUAUCUCUGUUCAAUGAUUUUCAUUGCCACGCCUUCAAUAACACGAGGACCUCCACUGUUUGGCUCAAAGGUAAAGAAGGCAGCACGGUGGAGGCGGGGGCCGUCUGUCACCAAGAUACCAGUGCAUGGGAUCCUCAACACCUCGUGUUUCAGAUGUUGAAUGUGAAGCCUGGUGCGGCUUCCAUAUGCCAUAUUUCGUGGCAAGGAGACCUUGUGUGGCUCACAGCCAAAUGAGCCACACCCGCCCACUGCAUUUGCUUGAACGUUCAAGCGAAUCCGUUUUGCAUAUAUCGGCCUGCACUGCUUUGGUUUACAGGACUGCUAUGGUUUAAUAUUGUAUUGUGAAAAAUUUAUUAUUAUUUUUUAAACUACAUUUAAACUUAAUUGUACUAUAAAAUUAAAAUAAAACUAAUUAUAUAUACUUAUUUUUUAAUGAAUCCAUGAAAAAGUAUCAAAAGAAAACAAAAAUAGAACAAAGACGAUGUGAAUGAAUGUACAUAAAACAUCCAUUACCAUCUUGUGAAAGACAGUGAGUCCCACCCACAACAUGUUGCAGUGAUUCAGACAUGUACAAGUAAAAGAGGACUUCAUACAUUGAACUUUCCUCAACUCGUGACAUAUGUAAUAGUGGGAUGCUAUAAAUAGAGGAUAUCUUGCAGAUUUAAGGAAACAUUCUAAAGUAUCAA
Molecule: long non-coding RNA, 2105 nt
Organism: Cryptomeria japonica (Japanese cedar)
Lineage: Eukaryota; Viridiplantae; Streptophyta; Pinopsida; Cupressales; Cupressaceae
Exons: 2
Source: RefSeq, a predicted model, not a curated record